UACGAAGGGUGCAAGCGUUGUUCGGAUUUAUUGGGCGUAAAGCGCGCGCAGGCGGGUAAAUAAGUCAGGUGUGAAAUCUCGGAGCUCAACUUCGAACGUGCGCCUGAAACUGUUUAUCUAGAAUACUGGCGGGGGUAGGGGAAUUUCGCAUGUAGGGGUAAAAUCCGUAGAUAUGCGAAGGAACACCGGAGGCGAAAGCGCCUACCUGGACAGUUAUUGACGCUGAGGCGCGAGAGCGUGGGGAGCAAACAGG
This 253-nucleotide ribosomal RNA is filed under the name uncultured bacterium. RNAcentral's name for it is "partial 16S ribosomal RNA". It matches the Rfam family "Bacterial small subunit ribosomal RNA", at positions 524 to 776 of the family's 1533-position model. The record is from RNAcentral.